RNAcentral lists this ribosomal RNA (495 nucleotides) under Veillonella parvula. Its description in RNAcentral is "bacterial SSU rRNA". It matches the Rfam family "Bacterial small subunit ribosomal RNA", at positions 28 to 492 of the family's 1533-position model. The record is from RNAcentral. Lineage: Bacteria; Bacillati; Bacillota; Negativicutes; Veillonellales; Veillonellaceae.
GACGAACGCUGGCGGCGUGCUUAACACAUGCAAGUCGAACGAAGAGCGAUGGAAGCUUGCUUCUAUCAAUCUUAGUGGCGAACGGGUGAGUAACGCGUAAUCAACCUGCCCUUCAGAGGGGGACAACAGUUGGAAACGACUGCUAAUACUGCAUACGAUCUAAUCUCGGCAUCGAGGAUAGAUGAAAGGUGGCCUCUACAUGUAAGCUAUCACUGAAGGAGGGGAUUGCGUCUGAUUAGCUAGUUGGAGGGGUAACGGCCCACCAAGGCGAUGAUCAGUAGCCGGUCUGAGAGGAUGAACGGCCACAUUGGGACUGAGACACGGCCCAGACUCCUACGGGAGGCAGCAGUGGGGAAUCUUCCGCAAUGGACGAAAGUCUGACGGAGCAACGCCGCGUGAGUGAUGACGGCCUUCGGGUUGUAAAGCUCUGUUAAUCGGGACGAAAGGCCUUCUUGCGAAUAGUGAGAAGGAUUGACGGUACCGGAAUAGAAAGCC